GACGAACGCUGGCGGCGUGCUUAACACAUGCAAGUCGAGCGGGAUCCAACCGGUGGCAACACCGGGGAAGAUCUAGCGGCGAACGGGUGAGUAACACGUGAGCAACCUGCCCCGAAGACUGGGAUAACACCGGGAAACCGGUGCUAAUACCGGAUGUCGUCAUUAGGCCGCAUGACCUGAUGAUGAAAGGAUUCAUCGCUUCGGGAGGGGCUCGCGGGCUAUCAGCUUGGGUGGGGUAACGGCCUACCAAGGCGACGACGGGUAGCCGGCCUGAGAGGGCGACCGGCCACACUGGGACUGAGACACGGCCCAGACUCCUACGGGAGGCAGCAGUGGGGAAUCUUGCGCAAUGGGCGAAAGCCUGACGCAGCGACGCCGCGUGAGGGAUGACGGCCUGGUUGUAAC
Molecule: ribosomal RNA, 405 nt
Filed under: uncultured bacterium
Lineage: Bacteria
Description: bacterial SSU rRNA
Rfam family: Bacterial small subunit ribosomal RNA
Source: RNAcentral